UACGUAGGUCCCGAGCGUUGUCUGGAUUUAUUGGGCGUAAAGGGAACGCAGGCGGUCUUUUAAGUCUGAUGUGAAAGCCUUCGGCUUAACCGGAGUAGUGCAUUGGAAACUGGGAGACUUGAGUGCAGAAGAGGAGAGUGGAACUCCAUGUGUAGCGGUGAAAUGUGUAGAUAUAUGGAAGAACACCAGUGGCGAAAGCGGCUCUCUGGUCUGUAACUGACGCUGAGGUUCGAAAGCGUGGGUAGCAAACAGG
This 253-nucleotide ribosomal RNA is filed under the name uncultured bacterium. RNAcentral describes it as "partial 16S ribosomal RNA". It matches the Rfam family "Bacterial small subunit ribosomal RNA", at positions 524 to 776 of the family's 1533-position model. The record is from RNAcentral.